CUCUAUCUAUCUAUCAUCCAUCUGUCUGUCUACCCAUCCUUCUACCCAUUCUUCAUCUAUCUAUCCUUCCAUCUGCCCUUCCCUCUACCCACCAUCUGUCCUGUCUAUCUAUCCAUCCAUCCAUCUGUCCUUCCCUCCACCCACCAUCUGUCCUGUCUGUGUCUGUCUGUCUAUCUAUCUAUCCAUCCAUCCAUCGGCCCUUCCCUCCACCCACCACAUAUCCUGUCUAUCUAUGUCUAUCUAUCCAUCCAUCCAUCUGUCCUUCCCUCCACCCACCAUCUGUCCUGACUGUGUCUAUCUAUCUAUCCAUCCAUCAGCCCUUCCCUCCUCCCACCAUCUGUCCUGUCUGUCCAUCCAUCCAUCCAUCCAUCCAUCUUCCCUUCCCUCCUCCCACCAACUGUCCUGUCUAUCCAUGUCUAUCCAUCCAUCCAUCUUCCCUUCCCUCCUCCCACCAUCUGUCCUGUCUGUCUGUGUCUAUCUAUUCAUCCAUCCAUCUUCCCUUCCCUCCUCCCACCAUCUGUCCUGUCUCUCUGUGUCUAUCUAUCCAUCCAUCCAUCAGCCCUUCCCUCCUCCCACCAUCUGUCCUGUCUAUAUGUCUAUCCAUCCAUCCAUCAGCCCUUCCCUCCUCCCACCAUCUGUCCUGUCUGUGUCUAUCCAUCCAUCCAUCUGUCCUUCCCUCCUCCCACCAUCUGUCCUGUCUAUCCAUGUCUAUCCAUCCAUCCAUCAGCCUUUCCCUCCUCCCACCAUCUGUCCUAUCUGUGUCUAUCUAUCCGUCCAUCCACCAUCUGUCCUGACUGUCAAUGUCUAUCUAUCCAUCCAUUCAUCUUCCCUUCCCUCCACCCACCAUCUGUCCUGACUGUCGAUGUCUAUCUAUCCAUCCACCCAUCAUCUGCUCUUUCCUCCACCCACCAUCUGUCCUGUCUAUCUAUCCAUCCAUCCAUCAUCUGUUCUUCCCUACACCCACCAUCUGUCCUGUCUGUCUGUCUGCUUAUGCAUCCAUUCGUCUUCCCUUCCCUCUACCCACCAUCUGUACUGUCUGUCUGUCUAUCCAUCCAUCCGUCUUCCCUUCCCUCCACCCACCAUCUGUCCUGUCUGUCUGUCCAUCCUGCUCUUUCCUCCACCCAUCAUCUGUCCUGUCUGUCUAUCUAUCCAUCCAUCUGCCCUUCCCUAUACCCACAAUCUGUCCUGUCUGUGUUGCUCUCUUCAUCCAUCUGCCUUUCCCUCCACCCACCCUCUAUCCUAUCUAUGUCUCUGUUCAUCCAUCUGUCUGCCCUUCCUUCCACCCAUCCCCUGUCUGUCUGUCUGUGUUUGUGCUCUUAUCUUUCCAUGUGCUGUCUGCCCUCUCUAUUCUUGGUCCAUCCCUCUGUGGCCUGCACUGUGUUGGCCUGUUCUGUUGAUUUGUGCAGGUGCCGGGAAGGUUUCUUCCUGGUAGCUUAGGUGAGCAUUGAGCCUCUGGUAUUGGAGAUAUAUUUUUAUUCAUAUCAAUACUCCCCAAAUUACCCUGGCCUUGCUUGGGUCAUCUGCUCACUCUGGGCCAGGCAGGUCGCCUGUAGUGUGGUCUGUCCAUCAGGGGUGGGGUCAGAAUUCUCAGAAGAAAGUGAUGUGGGAAGGCCCACAAGUUCUAGAUGUCUUCCAUAUCUAGGGCUUACUUCCUUUUAUUUUACUGUGAGUUGCAUGUGAAAUUCCUAGAAUAAAUAAAAGUAGGCAUGAUUUAGUCAUAGUUAUAGAAUUUGUGCAACUGUAAUACCAAAAUAAAUUUUAGUUUAAUCUUGAACAAAGUAAUAAAAC
Molecule: long non-coding RNA, 1788 nt
Filed under: Marmota monax (woodchuck)
Lineage: Eukaryota; Metazoa; Chordata; Mammalia; Rodentia; Sciuridae
Source: RNAcentral